RNAcentral lists this ribosomal RNA (497 nucleotides) under uncultured bacterium. RNAcentral describes it as "partial 16S ribosomal RNA". It matches the Rfam family "Bacterial small subunit ribosomal RNA", at positions 28 to 507 of the family's 1533-position model. The record is from RNAcentral.
GAUGAACGCUGGCGGCGUGCCUAAUACAUGCAAGUCGAGCGAACGGACGAGAAGCUUGCUUCUCUGAUGUUAGCGGCGGACGGGUGAGUAACACGUGGAUAACCUACCUAUAAGACUGGGAUAACUUCGGGAAACCGUAGCUAAUACCGGAUAAUAUUUUGAACCGCAUGGUUCAAAAGUGAAAGACGGUCUUGCUGUCACUUAUAGAUGGAUCCGCGCUGCAUUAGCUAGUUGGUAAGGUAACGGCUUACCAAGGCAACGAUGCAUAGCCGACCUGAGAGGGUGAUCGGCGACCCUGGGACUGAGACACGGUCCAGACUCCUACGGGAGGCAGCAGUAGGGUAUCUUCCGCAAUGGGCGAAAGCCUGACGGAGCAACGCCGCGUGAGUGAUGAAGGUCUUCGGAUCGUAAAACUCUGUUAUUAGGGAAGAACAUAUGUGUAAGUAACUGUGCACAUCUUGACGGUACCUAAUCAGAAAGCCACGGCUAACUACGUG